UGCAGUCGAGCGGUAACAGAUCUAGCUUGCUAGAUGCUGACGAGCGGCGGACGGGUGAGUAAUGCAUAGGAAUCUGCCCAGUAGUGGGGGAUAACCUGGGGAAACCCAGGCUAAUACCGCAUACGUCCUACGGGAGAAAGGGGGCUUCGGCUCCCGCUAUUGGAUGAGCCUAUGUCGGAUUAGCUAGUUGGUGAGGUAAUGGCUCACCAAGGCAACGAUCCGUAGCUGGUCUGAGAGGAUGAUCAGCCACAUCGGGACUGAGACACGGCCCGAACUCCUACGGGAGGCAGCAGUGGGGAAUAUUGGACAAUGGGCGCAAGCCUGAUCCAGCCAUGCCGCGUGUGUGAAGAAGGCCCUCGGGUUGUAAAGCACUUUCAGCGAGGAAGAACGCCUAGUGGUUAAUACCCAUCAGGAAAGACAUCACUCGCAGAAGAAGCACCGGCUAACUCCGUGCCAGCAGCCGCGGUAAUACGGAGGGUGCAAGCGUUAAUCGGAAUUACUGGGCGUAAAGCGCGCGUAGGUGGCUUGAUAAGCCGGUUGUGAAAGCCCCGGGCUCAACCUGGGAACGGCAUCCGGAACUGUCAAGCUAGAGUGCAGGAGAGGAAGGUAGAAUUCCCGGUGUAGCGGUGAAAUGCGUAGAGAUCGGGAGGAAUACCAGUGGCGAAGGCGGCCUUCUGGACUGACACUGACACUGAGGUGCGAAAGCGUGGGUAGCAAACAGGAUUAGAUACCCUGGUAGUCCACGCCGUAAACGAUGUCGACCAGCCGUUGGGUGCCUAGCGCACUUUGUGGCGAAGUUAACGCGAUAAGUCGACCGCCUGGGGAGUACGGCCGCAAGGUUAAAACUCAAAUGAAUUGA
RNAcentral lists this ribosomal RNA (859 nucleotides) under Halomonas taeheungii. Its description in RNAcentral is "bacterial SSU rRNA". It matches the Rfam family "Bacterial small subunit ribosomal RNA", at positions 56 to 913 of the family's 1533-position model. Lineage: Bacteria; Pseudomonadati; Pseudomonadota; Gammaproteobacteria; Oceanospirillales; Halomonadaceae. The record is from RNAcentral.